CGUAGGGUGCGAGCGUUAAUCGGAAUUACUGGGCGUAAAGUGUGCGCAGGCGGCCGCGCAAGUCGAGUGUGAAAGCCCCGAGCUUAACUUGGGAAUUGCGCUCGAAACUACGUGGCUGGAGUGUGGCAGAGGAAGGUGGAAUUCCAGGUGUAGCGGUGAAAUGCGUAGAGAUCUGGAGGAACACCGAUGGCGAAGGCAGCCUUCUGGGCCAACACUGACGCUCAUGCACGAAAGCGUGGGGAGCAAACAGGAUUAGAUACCCUGGUAGUCCACGCCCUAAACGAUGAUGACUAGUUGUUGGAGGAGUUAAAUCCUUUAGUAACGCAGCUAACGCGUGAAGUCAUCCGCCUGGGGAGUACGGUCGCAAGAUUA
Molecule: ribosomal RNA, 372 nt
Filed under: uncultured organism
Description: bacterial SSU rRNA
Rfam family: Bacterial small subunit ribosomal RNA
Source: RNAcentral